AAUUAACUGUGUGUUAAGUUUAAUUAAGAAGUUAAUUAGCAACAAAAAGAGAUAAUUAUGGGUUCUCUUAUGGCAGGUUGGGACUCUCCUGUUUCUGAUCCUCAAGCUAUGAAAUUACGAACAAAUAAGUCAUUAACAAAGAAAGAGAUAGAUGCAUAUUGGAGAUCAAAAAAACUAAUUGAAGAAGAGCAUCAAAAAUAUAUCUCUACGUUAUCCCCUCGAAGCCAAAAACAGGCGAAUAUUGUAUUUGAGGAGGCAACUAAAACAGCGGAAGAAAGUCUUUCUAAUUUGGAAAAUGAGGAAAGUUUGGAUCAACUAAUCAGGAAAAAUGGAUGGUGGAUAAGUAGCAAUUGGGCACAUUUAAAUGAGCCACCAGUAGAAGUACGAGAAGGUCCAGCUUACAAAUACGUGUCACAAUUUCACGUAGCCAACAUGGCUACUGGGUCCAACACUAAACCCGGUCCAGCCGGAAUCAACGCUUGAACCGUCGUUUGGCUUUAGACCGGUUUGCUAAUAAGUACUAGUAUAGUACUUUUUUUAGGUUAAUUUUAAUUUUUUUUUAUGACAAAUUACUUUUAAUUUUAUUUGCGAAAGUAUUUGUAUUUGAGUUGAUAUUUAGAGUUUGCGUUAAGAGAUGUCGAUACUUGUAAUGUUG
Molecule: unclassified non-coding RNA, 655 nt
Filed under: Hevea brasiliensis (rubber tree)
Lineage: Eukaryota; Viridiplantae; Streptophyta; Magnoliopsida; Malpighiales; Euphorbiaceae
Source: RNAcentral